Molecule: ribosomal RNA, 117 nt
Filed under: Clostridiales bacterium
Lineage: Bacteria; Bacillati; Bacillota; Clostridia; Eubacteriales
Source: RNAcentral
UUUGGCGGCCAUUACGGGAAGGCCACACCUGUUCCCAUACCGAACACAGCAGUUAAGCUUCCCAGUGCCGACGAUACUUGGAUGGCAACGUCCCGGGAAAAUAGGUCGCCGCCAGAU